This 73-nucleotide transfer RNA is filed under the name Candidatus Woesearchaeota archaeon. Its description in RNAcentral is "tRNA-Met". It matches the Rfam family "tRNA". Rfam says of the family: Transfer RNA (tRNA) molecules are approximately 80 nucleotides in length. Their secondary structure includes four short double-helical elements and three loops (D, anti-codon, and T loops). The record is from RNAcentral. Lineage: Archaea; Nanobdellati; Candidatus Woesearchaeota.
GCCUCUGUAGCUCAGUUGGUAGAGCAUCGCUUUCAUGCGGCGAGGGUCGAGGGUUCGAAUCCCUUCGGAGGCA